ACCCCCACCAUCUUAAGGUUUUAUAUUUUAGAAUAAACGCCAAUCUUUCUAAAGUUUGAAAUAUUGCACUUACACCCUAAAAACUUAAUUCUAUUUGUUCGACGACUAUUCUUUUCAGUGUUCCUCUCUGGUGGCAUCUCACCCCCUUUUUGGUGAUUUCCCAACAUAAAAACCACCAAAAAUCAUAUUAACAUGGUUGGAUUUUUAUGCACAAAUUUGUGCAAAAAUCGCAUAGAUCUGUGACAAUUUAUGCAUCGACAGACACAAAAAUCAAUAGGUCUGCGUCGCAUAAAUGUAGAUCACGUUUGUGCGAUGCUGUUAGACCAAGGAAAUAUCAUUUUCUUUAUUUAAAUAAAAAUUUUAAAUAACAAUAUUACCUUUGACUAUAACAACCAAAACUAACGGAUGAAUGGAUAUUUGGAUUCUUAAAAAUUAGCUGGGGACAUUUAAAACUCUAAACCUUGGUAGGAAAAAGAUAUUUGGCCGUUAUUCUUUUGCUCAAAUUGAAAUAUCUUACGGGAUGAUAAACAUGGGUUGCAAAGAAUUCCAUGAAGGCGACGACGCAAAUUUUUCCAAGCACUUGCGAAGGAUCUUUUAUUGAGAAGUUUAUCAGUCAUCUUGCGGGAUAAGAAAGAUGGGUUGCAAAGAAUUCCAUGAAGGCGACAACGUAAAUUCCAGGCACUUGCGAAGGACCUUUCAUUGAGAAGUUUAUCGGUCAAAAUAUUAGAGUGAGUCGAACUUCCUCUUGUAGUUCUGAGACAGGGUUAUUUAAUUAAACCAAGCAUCAAAUUUCAUCUACAGAGUUGUUAUCAUGCUGCACAAGACACACACGGGCAUAAAAUUAUUAUUUAUCUGAUUUAUUUUUAAGUGCAACUGUUGUUAUAAAGACAUGAAUUUAUUGCUCAAGGGUUCAAAUUUCAGCCCCUAAACAAAUAUUUCUUGUCUCACUGCGGUUUCUUGCACUACAAUAGAGGAGAAGAUGAUUAAGUUUACAAAAUUCAUUCUAAAUGACAGUACUCACAAUUGGAGAACAGUGCCAGGAAGAACAGUGCCUGCGCAAGUCCCAGAUACACAAACACGCUUCCUACAGUCCCUGCAUUGACAGCCAGUAGAACCUCAAACAUCCAUUCUGAUUCUCUACAAUGUGGCAUGGUCACCCGUGUUGCAGCAAUAAAAGCAAUCGCCAUGAAUGACACAGCCACCCACACGAACUUCUUACACAAAUCCUUUGCUUCUGUUAAGGACACUGGCUCUAGUGGUUUAUCAUCUUGAAAAUCUGGUUUUUUUAAGGAGGGAACAUCAAGUAAAUCCUUUGUUGACAUUGGUUCCUUGUUUGGUGUUGGCAAGAAACCACAAGAUUUGCUGAUGCGCUUGCGUCGAGACUUGGUGAUUUUGUUGACAUGCUGGAACUUGGUGGUGUAGUCAUAACCUCUGGCUGGUAGCCAAGUUUGAAGUCUAAGGGCAACUCAUGACCAUUGCCUAUAUCAAUCAGACAUUGAAGCAGGCUCCUGUUUUUUAUCUCAAGUAUAUCUUUGGAGUUUUCAAGUGUCGGUUGUUGAGCACUAAUUUGUUGGACCCCUGAGACUGCAAGAUGCAAUAUGGUGUUGCCACAUUGAUCUUUCUUAAGGAGAAGAUCAGAUGAUGUGAAGAAAUUUGCCAGGGACACAAGUGUGUCAUAUUGGUUGAAAUUUACUGCAAGAUGGAACACUGUUUCUCCCUCUUUUGUCAGAUCCUGGAAUGAAAGCAAGGUCUUGAUCAAGCCUCAAAAACAAUCUUGUUAUCUCCAAGUAUCCUCUGCUACAAGCACAGUGUAACGGAGAAUACCCAUUCUUGUUGCUCUUUCGAGCAAAAUUUGGCCGCACCUCCAGUAUGUUCUGAA
Long non-coding RNA from Mangifera indica (mango), 1879 nucleotides. RefSeq lists it as uncharacterized. The record is from RefSeq and is a predicted model, not a curated record. The transcript is spliced from 6 exons. NCBI's taxonomy places the organism in Eukaryota, Viridiplantae, Streptophyta, Magnoliopsida, Sapindales, Anacardiaceae.